Molecule: ribosomal RNA, 269 nt
Filed under: uncultured soil bacterium
Lineage: Bacteria
Description: partial 16S ribosomal RNA
Rfam family: Bacterial small subunit ribosomal RNA
Source: RNAcentral
AGAACGAACGCUGGCGGCGCGCCUAAUACAUGCAAGUCGAGCGAGAAGACGUAGCAAUACGUUUGUAAAGCGGCGAACGGGUGAGGAAUACAUGGGUAACCUACCCUCGAGUGGGGAAUAACUAGCCGAAAGGUUAGCUAAUACCGCGUACGCUCCUUGGACUUCGGUUCAGGGAGGAAAGCGAUACCGUGGGUAUCGCGCUCUUGGAUGGGCUCAUGUCCUAUCAGCUUGUUGGUGAGGUAACGGCUCACCAAGGCUUCGACGGGUAG